RNAcentral lists this ribosomal RNA (579 nucleotides) under uncultured bacterium. RNAcentral describes it as "bacterial SSU rRNA". The stretch from base 1 to 517 matches the Rfam family "Bacterial small subunit ribosomal RNA", at positions 338 to 873 of the family's 1533-position model. The record is from RNAcentral.
CCUACGGGAGGCAGCAGUGGGGAAUAUUGGACAAUGGGCGAAAGCCUGAUCCAGCAAUGCCGCGUGAGUGAUGAAGGCCUUAGGGUCGUAAAGCUCUUUUACCAGGGAUGAUAAUGACAGUACCUGGAGAAUAAGCUCCGGCUAACUCCGUGCCGGCAGCCGCGGUAAUACGGAGGGAGCUAGCGUUGUUCGGAAUUACUGGGCGUAAAGCGUGCGUAGGCGGUUAUUCAAGUCAGAGGUGAAAGCCCGGGGCUCAACCCCGGAACGGCCUUUGAAACUAGAUAACUAGAAUCUUGGAGAGGUCAGUGGAAUUCCGAGUGUAGAGGUGAAAUUCGUAGAUAUUCGGAAGAACACCAGUGGCGAAGGCGACUGACUGGACAAGUAUUGACGCUGAGGUACGAAAGCGUGGGGAGCAAACAGGAUUAGAUACCCUGGUAGUCCACGCCGUAAACGAUGAUAACUAGCUGUCCGGACACUUGGUGUUUGGGUGGCGCAGCUACGCAUUAAGUUNUCCGCGUGGGAGUCGGUCGCAGAUUAAACNAAUNAUGACGNNGAGNGNGCGACGACGACGACGAGGAG